UUGAAGACUGUAUUAUUUCCCUAUUUCUGCCUUAACAAAUUACCACAAACCAAGUGGCUUACAGCAACAUAAAGUUAUUGUUUUACAAUUCUGGAGCUCAGAAGUCUAAAAUAAAGGGCAGCAGAGUUGUUUUCCCUCUGGAGGCUUUAGGGAAAGAUCUAUUUCCUCACGUUUUUUAGCUUCCAGUGGCUGUCUGUAUUCCUUGGCUUGUGGCCCCCUCCUCCACCUCCAAAGCACACAGCUCUGAUUUUUUACUUCCAUCAUUACAUCACCUUCUCCUCUUCUGCAGUAAAAUCUCCCUCCACCCCUCUCUUUAAAGGACACUUGAGACUACAUUUAGGAUCUACUCUGAUAAUCCAAGAAAAAAUCCUUGACUUAAUGACAUCUGCAAGGCCCCUUUUGUCAUAUAAGGUAACAUUCAUGGGUUCCUAUGAUUAGAACUUGGCUAUUUUGGGGGACCAUUAGUAAGCUGACCACAGUUGUAAUUGAAAUAGCUUUGUGUAAUAAUUUAGUACGUCUGGGAUGUGUCCCAUGCGUUUGCCAUUUUUACAAGUAGGUUAAGUGAUCACAAAGUGAUCCACAAUUCAUGUGCAUGGAAUGCUUUGAAGUGGGAUUUAAAAUGAAUUUAAUGGAGAACUAAAUGCAUAUAGAGUCUUUCAUUUAAUACUCUAUUAGGAGAGUUUCCAUUGAGAAUUUCUGUGUUUCCUUUGUCUAUGUGUAACACACAUUUUUCUACAGGGUCAUUUGAUUUAAAUGAUAAUGUUUUUCAAAGUAAGAUACUGAAAUAGUACUAAUUGUUUACAUGCAUAUAAUGCUUCAUUGUUAACAAGGACCUUUUCUCCCAGGCUGUUUGAGCUUACUAUGGCUACUGUAACAAGUUACCACAGAUUCAGUGGCUUAAAACAAUGCAAAUGUAUUAUCUUACAGUUUCGGAGGUCAGUCCAAAAUGAACCUUACAAGGCUAAAACCUAGAGACUGCUUGCAUUCCCUGGCCCCUAACCCCCUCCUCCAUCUUCAAACCACUUCACUCUAACCUCUGCUUCUGUGGUCACAUCUCCUUUUCUGACUUUAGACAUCUUGCCUCCCUCUUAAAAGAAUUUCUGUAAUUACAUGGGGCCCACCCAGAUAAUCCAGAAUAAUCUUUCCAUUUUAAAAUCCUUUACUUCAUCCUAUUUACAAAGUCCCUUUGCCACAUAAGGUAAUGUAGUCAUAGGUUCCAGAGUUCUGGAAUGCAGACAUCUUCCAGGACCCAAUGGCUAAGGCCUUCCCCAGUGAAAGCUUCAGAUGAGAGGCCAGUGCAGGACAGCACCUUCUUUGCAACCUUGCAGAGGACACAGUUAAAGCUGUGGUUCUGACCUACAGAAACUGUGAGGUAAUAAGUGUGUGUUCUAAGCUGCUAAACUUGUGCUAAUGUCAUUACAUGGUGAUAGAUAAUGAACACAACAUCCACAGAUUCUCCCCCAAGUUUAUGAAGUGUGUUGCUGUGCAAAAUGACUUUAGGACAUGUCCGCUAGCAGUGGGCUCUAGCCAGAUGGUUGCUUUUGAGCCCCACUACUUGGAGUGGCGAGUAUAACCUUAAUCACCUGCAGAUCCAUCUGUGACAGAGGUGCACAGGAUCUGACGAGUGAUGUGUGUGCCGCCGGGAAGACUUGUACAUCACUGGAUGUCAGCUUUCUGCCAAUGACCAGCCUCAAUCCUCUUAAGGUCCUAUUUGUUAUUGUAGUCUAGCAGUGGGCAACAUUGUUAUAAAGAACCCUGUCUGCUGUACACAACAAAUUCUUAGUGAUCUGGAAUUCACUCCUUGGGAAUUUGUAACUUUGCUGAAGUUAAUAGUCAUCAUCAGAAUAUGAUUUUAUGUAUAUAUUUGAUUUUACAGUUUCAUUUAUUCAUUCAGUAAAUAUAUAUUUAGUACAAGCAUGUGCCAAGAGACAGUCUGGUCCCUGGGAAUGUGACGAUGAAGAAUACAGAUGAGGUUCCUGUACUUAUUAAAUGUCAUGUUUAUGUAGGCACCAUUCAUUCUGUGAAAUAGGCAGAACAGCUGUUUUUAAAAACUUGUGUUGUUCAAAUACCAGCAAAACAGAAAAUGGUGUAAAAAUUAUUAUAAGGCAAAUGCCAUGUUUUAGUCUGUUUUGUGUUGCUAUAACAGAAUAUCACAGACUCUGUAAUUUUUUUUUUUAAACAAACAUAUUUCUCACAGUUCUGGCAGCUGUGAAAACCAGUAUCAAGGUGCUGGCACCUGGCAAGAGCCUUCUUGCUGCGUCAUCUCAUGGCUGAAGGUGAGAAGAAUUCUAGAGGCUGCAAAGCUCAAGAUCAAGGUGCCAGCUGAUUCCGUGUCUGGUGAGGGCUAACUUCCUGGUUUGCAGAUGGCAGUCUUCUUGUUUCAGCUUCACAUGUUGGAAAGAAAGAUCCAGGGUCUCCUCCUCUUUUUAUAAGGGAGCAAACCCCAUUCAUAGAGGACACAUUAUCAUGACCAGAUCAUUUUCCAAAGUCCCCACCUCCAAAUACCAUAACACUGGGGAUUAGAGCUUCAGCAUAUGAAUCUUAUGGGUACAAAAACAUUUGGUACAUAAUACCCAGUUACCAAAAAUGUAUGCCUAAUAAAUUUUAGAGAUUCAG
This is a long non-coding RNA of Piliocolobus tephrosceles (Ugandan red Colobus), 2616 nucleotides long. RefSeq lists it as uncharacterized. The transcript has 2 exons. NCBI's taxonomy places the organism in Eukaryota, Metazoa, Chordata, Mammalia, Primates, Cercopithecidae. The record is from RefSeq and is a predicted model, not a curated record.